CCAGAAGGGGACGGCUAANUACGUGCCAGCAGCCGCGGUAAUACGUAGGUCCCGAGCGUUGUCCGGAUUUAUUGGGCGUAAAGGGAGCGCAGGCGGUCAGGAAAGUNUGGAGUAAAAGGCUAUGGCUCAACCAUAGUGUGCUCUGGAAACUGUNUGACUUGAGUGCAGAAGGGGAGAGUGGAAUUCCAUGUGUAGCGGUGAAAUGCGUAGAUAUAUGGAGGANCACCAGUGGCGAAAGCGGCUCUCUGGUCUGUCACUGACGCUGAGGCUCGAAAGCGUGGGUAACGAACAGGAUUAGAUACCCUGGUAGUCCACGCCGUAAACGAUGAGUGCUAGGUGUUAGGCCCUUUCCGGGGCUUAGUGCCGGAGCUAACGCAAUAAGCACUCCGCCUGGGGAGUACGACCGCAAGGUUGAAACUCAAAGGAAUUGACGGGGGNCCGCACAAGCGGUGGAGCAUGUGGUUUAAUUCGAAGCAACGCGAAGAACCUUACCAGGUCUUGACAUCCCGAUGCUAUUCUUAGAGAUAGGAAGUUACUUCGGUACAUCGGAGACAGGUGGUGCAUGGUUGUCGUCAGCUCGUGUCGUGAGAUGUUGGGUUAAGUCCCGCAACGAGCGCAACCCUUAUUGUUAGUUGCCAUCAUUAAGUUGGGCACUCUAGCGAGACUGCCGGUAAUAAACCGGAGGAAGGUGGGGAUGACGUCAAAUCAUCAUGCCCCUUAUGACCUGGGCUACACACGUGCUACAAUGGUCGGUACAACGAGUUGCGAGCCGGUGACGGCAAGCUAAUCUCUGAGAGCCGAUCUCAGUUCGGAUUGGAGGCUGCAACUCGCCUCCAUGAAGUCGGAAUCGCUAGUAAUCGCGGAUCAGCACGCCGCGGUGAAUACGUUCCCGGGCCUUGUACACACCGCCCGUCACACCACGAGAGUUUGUAACACCCGAAGUCGGUGAGGUAACCUUUUAGGGGCCAGCCGCCUAAGGUGGGANGGAUGAU
This 992-nucleotide ribosomal RNA is filed under the name uncultured bacterium. Its description in RNAcentral is "bacterial SSU rRNA". It matches the Rfam family "Bacterial small subunit ribosomal RNA", at positions 483 to 1475 of the family's 1533-position model. The record is from RNAcentral.